This is an unclassified non-coding RNA of Oryctolagus cuniculus (rabbit), 290 nucleotides long. It matches the Rfam family "Metazoan signal recognition particle RNA". From Rfam's summary of the family: The signal recognition particle (SRP) is a universally conserved ribonucleoprotein. The record is from Ensembl. Lineage: Eukaryota; Metazoa; Chordata; Mammalia; Lagomorpha; Leporidae.
GCCGGGCGCGGUGGCGCGCGCCUGUAGUCCCAGCUACUCGGGAGGCUGAGGCCGGAGGAUCACUUGAGUCCAGGAGUUCUGGGCUGUCGUGCGCUAUGCCGAUCGGGUGUCCGCACUAAGUUCGGCAUCAAUAUGGUGACCUCCCGGGAGCGGGGGACCACCAGGUUGCCUAAGGAGGGGUGAACCGGCCCAGGUCGGAAACGGAGCAGGUCAAAACUCCCAUGCUGAUCAAUAUAGCUAUGCUUACAUGUUAUACAUUUAUUUUUUUUUUAAGAUUUACUUUAUUUAUU